RNAcentral lists this ribosomal RNA (253 nucleotides) under uncultured bacterium. RNAcentral's name for it is "partial 16S ribosomal RNA". It matches the Rfam family "Bacterial small subunit ribosomal RNA", at positions 524 to 776 of the family's 1533-position model. The record is from RNAcentral.
UACGGAGGGCGCAAGCGUUGUUCGGAAUCACUGGGCGUAAAGCGCGUGUAGGCGGCUUUGCAAGUCGGGUGUGAAAUCCCGAGGCUCAACCUCGGAACUGCACUCGAUACUGCUUGGCUCGAGUCCCGGAGAGGGUGGCGGAAUUCACGGUGUAGGGGUGAAAUCCGUAGAUAUCGGGAGGAACACCAGUGGCGAAGGCGGUCACCUGGACGGUGACUGACGCUGAGACGCGAAAGCGUGGGGAGCAAACAGG